RNAcentral lists this ribosomal RNA (255 nucleotides) under uncultured prokaryote. Its description in RNAcentral is "partial 16S ribosomal RNA". It matches the Rfam family "Bacterial small subunit ribosomal RNA", at positions 523 to 777 of the family's 1533-position model. The record is from RNAcentral.
AUACAGAGGUGGCAAGCGUUGUUCGGAAUUACUGGGCGUAAAGGGCGCGUAGGCGGCCGCCUAAGUCAGACGUGAAAUCCCCAGGCUUAACUUGGGAACUGCGUCUGAUACUGAGUGGCUUGAGUUCGGGAGAGGAAUGUGGAAUUCCAGGUGUAGCGGUGAAAUGCGUAGAUAUCUGGAGGAACACCGGUGGCGAAGGCGGCAUUCUGGACCGAAACUGACGCUGAGGCGCGAAAGCCAGGGGAGCAAACGGGA